GGGCGAGACAUGCCAUGCGGGCCCCGACGUGACUCCCCCCGAGGCCCAGUCGCCCCCGUGCACGUGCCCCCCGCUCGCCACCCGCUCUCCCUCCAAGCCCCUCCCCCCCGGACCCCACCUCUUUUGUUCUUCUUCCGAUUCCUCGGGUGCGGCGCACUCGCCGCGGCACCGCGUGGUCGCUUUGUUGGGGGCGGUUGGUGUACCUCAAGCUAAAUCCUCCUCAACCUCCCCCCAUACCCGCCCCCCCCCCUAGGGCAUGCCCCACUUGGAUUUUUUCCCCAAAGGGGGACACCUGGAUGACACCUUGCCGCUUUUGUAAAAAACCCUUUGGGGGUUUGUAAACCCCCUGUACGUAGGGGGGGUCAACGUUUAUGACUUUCUAGCCGCCUUUUGGCACUUACUAGGAAGAAGCACCUACUCCCUCCCACCCCCGCGGUUAAUACCGGGGGUUCCGACCGUUAAUCGCAANUACUGGGGCUUAAAGCGUGGCGCAGGCGGUUUUUUAAGCGAGAUGUGAAAACCCCCGGCUCCCCCUGGGAAAUUGCAUUUCGAACCUGCCAAACUAGAGUCUUGUAGAGGGGGGUAGAAUUCCAGGUGUAGCGGUGAAAUGCGUAGAGAUCUGGAGGAAUACCGGUGGCGAAGGCGGGACCCUGGACAAAGACUGACGCUCAGGCACGAAAGCGUGGGUAGCAAACAGGAUUAGAUACCCCUCUAGUACACGCCGUAAACGGAUUCUACUCGGAGUUUGGUUCUUGAACACUGGGCUCU
This 768-nucleotide ribosomal RNA is filed under the name bacterium CC-2 ASCBAC. RNAcentral's name for it is "partial 16S ribosomal RNA". The stretch from base 475 to 768 matches the Rfam family "Bacterial small subunit ribosomal RNA", at positions 556 to 847 of the family's 1533-position model. The record is from RNAcentral.